RNAcentral lists this ribosomal RNA (468 nucleotides) under uncultured bacterium. RNAcentral describes it as "partial 16S ribosomal RNA". It matches the Rfam family "Bacterial small subunit ribosomal RNA", at positions 28 to 507 of the family's 1533-position model. The record is from RNAcentral.
GACGAACGCUGGCGGCGUGCUUAACACAUGCAAGUCGAACGGAAAGGCCCUGCUUUUGUGGGGUGCUCGAGUGGCGAACGGGUGAGUAACACGUGAGUAACCUGCCCUUGACUUUGGGAUAACUUCAGGAAACUGGUGCUAAUACCGGAUAUGAGCUCCUGCUGCAUGGUGGGGGUUGGAAAGUUUCGGCGGUUGGGGAUGGACUCGCGGCUUAUCAGCUUGUUGGUGGGGUAGUGGCUUACCAAGGCUUUGACGGGUAGCCGGCCUGAGAGGGUGACCGGCCACAUUGGGACUGAGAUACGGCCCAGACUCCUACGGGAGGCAGCAGUGGGGAAUAUUGCACAAUGGGCGGAAGCAUGAUGCAGCAACGCCGCGUGCGGGAUGACGGCCUUCGGGUUGUAAACCGAUUUCGCCUGUGACGAAGCGUGAGUGACGGUAAUGGGUAAAGAAGCACCGGCUAACUACGUG